Rhododendron vialii is the source of this 107-nucleotide small nucleolar RNA. RefSeq annotates it as small nucleolar RNA snoR100. The record is from RefSeq and is a predicted model, not a curated record. Lineage: Eukaryota; Viridiplantae; Streptophyta; Magnoliopsida; Ericales; Ericaceae. The transcript has a single exon.
UUUUGAAUGAAGCAAGGUAAAGAGCACAUAAAUUAACUCAGGUCUCUCGGCCUGCUCUCUCUCUUAUGUCUUUCGGCUUUGAUUUUGGGAAAUGGUUCACCACAUAU